RNAcentral lists this unclassified non-coding RNA (416 nucleotides) under uncultured fungus. RNAcentral describes it as "partial contains 5.8S ribosomal RNA and internal transcribed spacer 2". The stretch from base 1 to 133 matches the Rfam family "5.8S ribosomal RNA", at positions 22 to 154 of the family's 154-position model. The record is from RNAcentral. Lineage: Eukaryota; Fungi.
UGGCUCUCGCAUCGAUGAAGAACGCAGCGAAAUGUGAUAAGUAAUGUGAAUCGCAGAACUCAGUGAAUCAUCGAAUCUUUGAACGCACCUUGCGCCUUCUGGUAUUCCGGAGGGCACGCCUGUUUGAGUGUCAUGUUAAUUAUCAAACACUUGACUUGUGUUGCUUAUGGCAACUGUCCAAGUGGGUUGGAAUUUGGGUGUUUUUGCGCAUUUUACCGUGUGCUCAUCCGAAAUGCAGGGAAGCCUGACGACUCUCAAGAGUUGAUUGUUUGACUCGCCAUCGUAACAUUGUUUAUUGGUGGGAACUCCGAAAGGGGACGAUUGACUUGCUACAAUGACUGUUGUUGACUUCGUUUCAAGGUUAACAGCCUUAAAUUUCGAUUUUAGACCUCAAAUCAGGUGGGACUACCCGCUGA